ACUCCUACGGGAGGCAGCAGUAGGGAAUCUUCCACAAUGGGCGCAAGCCUGAUGGAGCAACACCGCGUGAGUGAAGAAGGGUUUCGGCUCGUAAAGCUCUGUUGUUAAAGAAGAACACGUAUGAGAGUAACUGUUCAUACGUUGACGGUAUUUAACCAGAAAGUCACGGCUAACUACGUGCCAGCAGCCGCGGUAAUACGUAGGUGGCAAGCGUUAUCCGGAUUUAUUGGGGCGUAAAGAGAGUGCAGGCGGUUUUCUAAGUCUGAUGUGAAAGCCUUUCGGCUUAACCGGAGAAGUGCAUCGGAAACUGGAUAACUUGAGUGCAGAAGAGGGUAGUGGAACUCCAUGUGUAGCGGUGGAAUGCGUAGAUAUAUGGAAGAACACCAGUGGCGAAGGCGGCUACCUGGUCUGCAACUGACGCUGAGACUCGAAAGCAUGGGUAGCGAACAGGAUUAGAUACCCUGGUAGGAUAGCG
This 475-nucleotide ribosomal RNA is filed under the name uncultured bacterium. RNAcentral's name for it is "bacterial SSU rRNA". It matches the Rfam family "Bacterial small subunit ribosomal RNA", at positions 335 to 801 of the family's 1533-position model. The record is from RNAcentral.